Vidua macroura (Pin-tailed whydah) is the source of this 1001-nucleotide long non-coding RNA. RefSeq lists it as uncharacterized. The record is from RefSeq and is a predicted model, not a curated record. NCBI's taxonomy places the organism in Eukaryota, Metazoa, Chordata, Aves, Passeriformes, Viduidae. The transcript is spliced from 8 exons.
CGCCAAGCCCCGCCCCCCGGGGUAGCGCAGCCAAUGGGAGUGGCUGCUGGGGUGGGCGUGGACGCGUGGCCAAUGGCGGGACGUCGGCGGGCGGGGAGGCGGGGUCGAACCGAGCACUACCGAACUCAGCCGAGCCUGAACCGAGCUUUACCGAGAUGGGCCGAAUCGAGCCGAGCCGAACCGAGCCCGAGCCGAACUCAGCCGAGCCCGAACCGAGCUCUACCGAGAGGUCCCGAGUCGAACCGAACCGAGCCGAGCGGAGCCCCCUCACAGUAUGAGGCCAAAGCUGUUGAAGGAUUUAAAGUUUUAACGAGUUCAGUGUGCGUUAUUCAGUGAGCACGUCCACGUGUGGGAAUCAAAAUCAGUAGGAGAAGACAAGAAAUACUCGUUACGUGGUAAAAGAGGUGACACAAACAUCCCUACGGCGCUGAGAAAGGAGGCAAAAAGCCAAGUGGCAGGAUAUCUGCUGAGAAAGCUGAGAAGAUGACAGUCUCGCAGGAGAAGAGGGAAGGCAGCAGGAUGCUGUUGGCCCUGCUUGACUCACCCCGUUCCCUCCAUUUGGAUUGGCUUCUGACAGCAAAGGUUCUUCUCAGUUAAAAACACAACUCAUAAAACAAGACAACUACCAGAUUUCCUUCCUUCAGAUGUGUGAGAGCCUCAUGCCCAGCGAGUGACUGCAUUUCCCUGGACACGAAAAGGAAAACUCAGUGUGCUCAAGUAAAAAAAGUGUCAGCAUUGCCUAGAGAAGAUGCUGAGAGGAAAAAUGAGCUGGAAGGCACAUCUGCAGCCCCAGAUCACAUUUUCACUUGCUUGAGCGUGUCAGAGUAUCUGACACUGCAACGUUGGACUCUCCUUGGGCACAGAAAUCCUGACUGACAGUUCGGAAUGGAAGCAGGGAAAUACUGAAUUCAUGCUUCCCUUCUUCCUGUGUCCAGGGCAGGAAAUGGACAUAAUUCAUUCUAAGGAAAAAAAUCAACUUGGAAAAGCACUCUGAACUUCUC